CCUACGGGAGGCAGCAGUGGGGAAUAUUGGACAAUGGGGGCAACCCUGAUCCAGCCAUGCCGCGUGAGUGAUGACGGCCUUAGGGUUGUAAAGCUCUUUUCUCCGGGACGGUAAUGACGGUACCGGAGGAAUAAGCCCCGGCUAACUUCGUGCCAGCAGCCGCGGUAAUACGAAGGGGGCUAGCGUUGCUCGGAAUCACUGGGCGUAAAGGGCGCGUAGGCGGCUGACUUAGUCGAGGGUGAAAGCCCGUGGCUCAACCACGGAAUGGCCUUCGAUACUGGUUGGCUUGAGACCGGAAGAGGACAGCGGAACUGCGAGUGUAGAGGUGAAAUUCGUAGAUAUUCGCAAGAACACCAGUGGCGAAGGCGGCUGUCUGGUCCGGUUCUGACGCUGAGGCGCGAAAGCGUGGGGAGCAAACAGGAUUAGAUACCCUGGUAGUCCACGCUGUAAACGAUGAAUGCUAGCCGUUGGUCUGCAUGCAGUCGAGUGGCGGCCGCGUACGCAUUAAGUCAUCCGUCCGUCGGGGAGGUACGGGUCGGCGAAGAAGUUAAACGUAACAAAUAAGUAAGUUAGUUACGGCGUGAGACGUGCCGACGGCGACGACGAGGGAGGAGG
This 615-nucleotide ribosomal RNA is filed under the name uncultured bacterium. RNAcentral's name for it is "bacterial SSU rRNA". The stretch from base 1 to 518 matches the Rfam family "Bacterial small subunit ribosomal RNA", at positions 338 to 873 of the family's 1533-position model. The record is from RNAcentral.